CCUACGGGAGGCAGCAGCUAACAAUAUUCCGCAAUGGACGAAAGUCUGACGGAGCGACGCCGCGUGGAUGAUGAAGGCCGAAAGGUUGUAAACGUCCUUUUGCUGGGGAAGAAUAAGUGUGGCGAGGCGA
RNAcentral lists this ribosomal RNA (130 nucleotides) under uncultured bacterium. Its description in RNAcentral is "partial 16S rRNA". It matches the Rfam family "Bacterial small subunit ribosomal RNA", at positions 338 to 464 of the family's 1533-position model. The record is from RNAcentral.